GCCUGGCUGGCUCAGUCAGAAGAGCGUGUGACUCUUGAUCUCAGGGUUGUGAGUUCGAACCCUACACUGGGUG
RNAcentral lists this transfer RNA (73 nucleotides) under Canis lupus familiaris (dog). It matches the Rfam family "tRNA". Rfam says of the family: Transfer RNA (tRNA) molecules are approximately 80 nucleotides in length. Their secondary structure includes four short double-helical elements and three loops (D, anti-codon, and T loops). The record is from Rfam by way of RNAcentral. Lineage: Eukaryota; Metazoa; Chordata; Mammalia; Carnivora; Canidae. RNAcentral also lists the same sequence under 1 other name.